Molecule: ribosomal RNA, 301 nt
Filed under: uncultured bacterium
Lineage: Bacteria
Description: partial 16S ribosomal RNA
Rfam family: Archaeal small subunit ribosomal RNA
Source: RNAcentral
CAGCCGCCGCGGGAACACCAGCACCUCGAGUGGUCAGGAGGUUUAUUGGGCCUAAAGCAUCCGUAGCCGGUUGCAUAAGUUUUCGGUUAAAUCUAUGCGCUUAACGUAUAGGCCGCCGAAAAUACUGUGCAGCUAGGGAGUGGGAGAGGUACACGGUACUCGAUAGGAAGGGGUAAAAUCCUUUGAUCUAUUGAUGACCACCUGUGGCGAAGGCGGUGUACCAGAACACGUUCGACGGUGAGGGAUGAAAGCUGGGGGAGCAAACCGGAUUAGAUACCCCGGUAGUCCCUGUCUCUUAUAA